RNAcentral lists this ribosomal RNA (253 nucleotides) under uncultured bacterium. RNAcentral describes it as "partial 16S ribosomal RNA". It matches the Rfam family "Bacterial small subunit ribosomal RNA", at positions 524 to 776 of the family's 1533-position model. The record is from RNAcentral.
UACGAAGGGGGCUAGCGUUGCUCGGAAUCACUGGGCGUAAAGGGUGCGUAGGCGGGUCUUUAAGUCAGGGGUGAAAUCCUGGAGCUCAACUCCAGAACUGCCUUUGAUACUGAGGAUCUUGAGUUCGGGAGAGGUGAGUGGAACCGCGAGUGUAGAGGUGAAAUUCGUAGAUAUUCGCAAGAACACCAGUGGCGAAGGCGGCUCACUGGCCCGAUACUGACGCUGAGGCACGAAAGCGUGGGGAGCAAACAGG